RNAcentral lists this ribosomal RNA (304 nucleotides) under uncultured bacterium. RNAcentral describes it as "partial 16S ribosomal RNA". It matches the Rfam family "Bacterial small subunit ribosomal RNA", at positions 506 to 809 of the family's 1533-position model. The record is from RNAcentral.
CAGCAGCCGCCGCGGGAAUACGGAGGGUGCAAGCGUUAUCCGGAUUUACUGGGUUUAAAGGGUGCGUAGGCGGACUUGUAAGUCCGAGGUGAAAUCUCUGAGCUUAACUCGGAAACUGCCUUGGAUACUAUAGGUCUUGAAUCUCGUUGAGGUUUGCGGAAUAUGUCAUGUAGCGGUGAAAUGCUUAGAUAUGACAUAGAACACCUAUUGCGAAGGCAGCAGGCUAAACGAAUAUUGACGCUGAUGCACGAAAGCGUGGGGAUCAAACAGGAUUAGAUACCCGCGUAGUCCCUGUCUCUUAUAA